Molecule: long non-coding RNA, 1216 nt
Organism: Acanthochromis polyacanthus (spiny chromis)
Lineage: Eukaryota; Metazoa; Chordata; Actinopteri; Pomacentridae
Exons: 7
Source: RefSeq, a predicted model, not a curated record
UGGGCUAUGAUAGCAUAAGGAACAUGUCCGAUGCUAAGGUUAUCUAGUCAAAUUAAAUUUUGAGUACCCUUUUUAAAGUUCUCAAAUAGAUUCCUGCAUUAAAGAAUAAAAAAAGUUAGUAUUACAUAAUUGCAUUGCCAGCCCCUCAGAAAAAUUAAAACGCAGACAAACACUAUGAAAAAUCCUUUUAAAGCUCUCAGAUUUAACUUGAGGUCAUUCCCUCCUCAUCUCUGCUCAGCCCUUUCCCAUGGUGAGGGAGUAUGUUUUUGCAAUACCUGAUCCAUUAACUACAUCCUUUAACUACAAUUUAUAAGCCACACAGUACAUAUGUGCUGUGUUGGUCAAUCAAUCAAUAAUAAUGAUGAUAAUAAAAAUGGUAAUGGUAUUUAUUGUUAUUGUUUGUAUGUAAUCUAACACAUAUUUAUACAUUUAUAGCAGGCAGCGGCUUAUUUACCAGAACCAGUGGGCCAACAUGCGUCUGGCCGCAUUUACAUUUUUAAUGUAUAUUGUUCAUUUUUUAAUUUUCAGAACAUGUCACAGCAGAAGACAACCUGGGUUGUUAAGAAGACCUUCACUGACUUUGUUCAAGGUCCCACGUAUCCUUCACCCCCGAAGAAAUUUCGGAAGGGGUCCGAAACAGUGGCCUCGAAGGCCUCUGGUCCAUCUCAUCAGCCACAAGGGGUAAACGUGGCUAAUUCCACCACCACUGGUCCUAAAGAUGCCCCAAUCAAGAACCCUACCAGAACCCUACCCCCGCGUGUUCCACGCCAAGAGCAACCAAACUCUCCUGAUUUGUUUGAACAACCGGAAACAUCAGUAGAUCUUUCGUGCAGAUAAAAUCGAUGUGUCACGUUGGGGGAAAGGACUUCAAGACCUGUGCACGCAGGAUCCUGGACAGCAAUGCCCUGCAGACACAGUACAAUCUAAUGGGUGGAGGACAUCAGGGAAAAAGGGCUAUAAAAAAAACCCCGCCUUCUUUUCCGUGGUUGUCGAGAGUGUUUGCAGUCGGUUUCCAAAUACCAUAGAAGAACAAGUUGGAGCAGCUCUCGGUGAUCACCAAAAACAGGCGCCAGCUCGAUGUGGUGGUGGGGGGAGGGGGGCUACAGGAAACACAGAACUUCCCACUGCUAAUUUUUUUUUUCAAAAAGCCCCAAAAAGUUCUUUAAAAAACAGUGUUUUUAUAAAACAAACGUCUUAAUUUUAAUUAUUUUUGUUU